GUUUCUUAUGGUUAAUAGCACAAUUGUAUUUAGCGUUAACUGGCCUUUGUUGUUGUAACUAACAAAGCUGCAUUAGGAUGAAUUCAAGACGAUGAGCUUCCAUGUCCUGCUAUGUUCUAUUUCAGGAGAAUAUAGGAUGUUUCCAUUUACAUUAAAUUCACUCGAUAACGGUCAGUUUACUAAGUAGGAUGAAGUCAGUUGUUGCCAAGAACACCUGCUGGAUCCCUGUCUGGCCUUGCCUUGUGAUGUGAGGUCGAACGUGAGUCAAGCAGCGUCCCUUGUCUCGGAGAUUUAUGACGGCGCCUCGUUCUGUGGGUGCACUACAUAACCCACUCUCAGCAUUAGUCACAUGACAUUUGAUUCACCCCAAAAACUCAACUGAAAAAGGUUCCUUGGCAGAACUCUUCAAAGCAUUCAGAUCUCAGGGAAACUAAUGGAUGGUUGUUAUUAUAAUCCUUGGGAUAUUUGCGGUGUGGAUUUUUGUAAAUCCACAGUUGCUUCAGGAUGGGUGUAGUUUUAUUGGCAGCUCA
Molecule: long non-coding RNA, 530 nt
Organism: Clupea harengus (Atlantic herring)
Lineage: Eukaryota; Metazoa; Chordata; Actinopteri; Clupeiformes; Clupeidae
Exons: 3
Source: RefSeq, a predicted model, not a curated record